GGGAAUUUUCCGCAAUGGGCGAAAGCCUGACGGAGCAAUACCGCGUGAGGGAGGAAGGCUCUUGGGUUGUAAACCUCUUUUCUCAGGGAAGAACACAAUGACGGUACCUGAGGAAUAAGCAUCGGCUAACUCCGUGCCAGCAGCCGCGGUAAUACGGAGGAUGCAAGCGUUAUCCGGAAUGAUUGGGCGUAAAGCGUUCGUAGGUGGUCCUUCAAGUCUGCUGUCAAAGCGCAGGGCUUAACUCUGUAAAGGCGGUGGAAACUGAAGAGCUAGAGUGCGGUAGGGGUAGAGGGAAUUCCCGGUGUAGCGGUGAAAUGCGUAGAGAUCGGGAAGAACACCAGCAGCGAAAGCGCUCUACUGGGCCUGCACUGACACUGAGGGACGAAAGCUAGGGGAGCGAAUGGGAUUAGAUACCCCAGUAGUCCUAGCCGUAAACGAUGGAUACUAGGUGUUGCCUGUAUCGACCCGGGCAGUGCCGUAGCUAACGCGUUAAGUAUCCCGCCUGGGGAGUACGCGCGCAAGCGUGAAACUCAAAGGAAUUGACGGGGGCCCGCACAAGCGGUGGAGUAUGUGGUUUAAUUCGAUGCAACGCGAAGAACCUUACCAGGGCUUGACAUGUCGCGAACCUCAGGGAAACUUGAGGGUGCCUUCGGGAGCGCGAACACAGGUGGUGCAUGGCUGUCGUCAGCUCGUGUCGUGAGAUGUUGGGUUAAGUCCCGCAACGAGCGCAACCCUCGUCCUAAGUUGCCAGCAUUAAGUUGGGCACUCUGAGGAGACUGCCGGUGACAAACCGGAGGAAGGUGGGGAUGACGUCAAGUCAGCAUGCCCCUUACGUCCUGGGCUACACACGUACUACAAUGCUACGGACAAAGGGCAGCCAGACAGCAAUGUCGAGCAAAUCCCAUAAACCGCGGCACAGUUCAGAUUGCAGGCUGCAACUCGCCUGCAUGAAGGUGGAAUCGCUAGUAAUCGCAGGUCAGCAUACUGCGGUGAAUCCGUUCCCGGGCCUUGUACACACCGCCCGUCACACCAUGGAAGCUGGCUUAGCCCGAAGUCGUUACCCUAACCCGCAAGGGAGGGGGACGCCGAAGGCAGGGCUGGUGACUGGGGUGAAGUCGUAACAAGGUAGCCGUACCGGAAGGUGUGGCUGGAUCACCUCCUU
This 1162-nucleotide ribosomal RNA is filed under the name coccoid cyanobacterium CMT-2FBIN-NPC27. Its description in RNAcentral is "bacterial SSU rRNA". It matches the Rfam family "Bacterial small subunit ribosomal RNA", at positions 357 to 1532 of the family's 1533-position model. Lineage: Bacteria; Bacillati; Cyanobacteriota. The record is from RNAcentral.